RNAcentral lists this long non-coding RNA (465 nucleotides) under Rattus norvegicus (Norway rat). RNAcentral's name for it is "long non-coding RNA NONRATT017496". Lineage: Eukaryota; Metazoa; Chordata; Mammalia; Rodentia; Muridae. The record is from RNAcentral.
GAGAGGGGUAGAUAGGGGGUGCAAAGUGAAUGAGGGAGGCGCAGCGAGGGGCGUCGAGUCAGCACGCAGCGGGCGUGGUCCGCCACUUGCGAGCUCCGGGGCGGCUGCGAACUAGGUUGCGUCGGGACCCCUGCUUUCCAUGGAGGUUCCCGAGCUGGGCCCGGGGUUGGUGGAGCGUCUGGAGCAGCUGGCGACGUGUCCGCUGUGCGGGGGCCCCUUCGAGGACCCAGUCCUGCUGGCGUGCGAGCACAGCUUCUGCCGUUCGUGCUUGGCGCGCUGCUGGGGGUCCCCGGCGGCGCCCGGCUCGGAGGAGGCGACCCCGUCCUGCCCCUGCUGUGGUCAGCCGUGCCCCAGACGCAGCCUGAGGUCUAACGUGCGACUUGCAGUGGAGGUGCGCAUCAGCCGCGGGCUGCGUGAGAAACUGGCCGAGCCCGGGGCCCGGACCGGGAGACGACGCGGCGGCCG